RNAcentral lists this long non-coding RNA (229 nucleotides) under Lathyrus oleraceus (garden pea). RNAcentral describes it as "Pisum sativum (pea) long non-coding RNA (PSAT_LNC016010)". Lineage: Eukaryota; Viridiplantae; Streptophyta; Magnoliopsida; Fabales; Fabaceae. The record is from RNAcentral.
GAAUUAGCCAGGUUGUUGAAAUAAGAGGAGAAUGUGAUUCAUCCGUACGUAAAGCGGGUUGAGCUUGUUAACCUGUAUACUGCCGAGGUCAGGAAAUGAAAAUUGGGGCCGCUUCAGAGGCGAGUCGAGAGCAGAAUGGUAGCCUUGUUGAAAGAGUAUGUCGAUACCUUCGCCUGGUUGUGUCAGGAUAUGCCAGGGUCGGAUACCGACGUCGUUGCACACAAGCUAC